UUCACUCCUGCAGAUCUCGACCUCAGGAGCGGCCGCUUCGGCGACCACUCGGUGCGCCGGGUGUUCCUGGACCCCUGCAGCAAGCACUGCUUCGCCACGGUGAUCCACCCAGGCGGUGCUGAGAUGUGUUACCACCACUCCAGCCUCAAUUUCGUGGAUCUCGUGGUGCAAAAGCAAGAAUCGAGUGGAUCUGCUGGGAUGUGGAGAGGCAGCUGGUGUUCUUUUUCCUUUCUCGAUUAUAAUGCUCUAUCAUGUGUGAUUCUUGGUUGAAUUGAGCUCUAACUGUGUAUAGAUAUACCAGUAAUUGUGUGUGUAUAUAUAGCAGGUCACAUUUCAUUUGCUGGUUGUAGUACUACUGUUCACCUGCUGGCCUAUAGGAGAGCGAAGAAUGGCUGGUGUGAUAGUAUUGGUUCUGUGGAAGAUAUCCAAACAAAACUUUUAAAGUGGCAGGAAGCUGCAGCUAAACGCGAGCGAGCCAUGGCCUAGGCUCUUACUCAUCAGGUAUUUUGUGACAAGCUUGAAAUAGAAACACCUGCAGAAAUAACUGUGAUUGAAGUCAGCAAGCUAAGUUGGAAACAAAACACAUGCUUUUGCUAAGUCAAAGCUAAGCAACAAGGUGGCAUGUUAGCUUCUGGUGGAACUUCAACCUUUUGCAGGAACAAAACUUUGCUGUUGUAGCUUCAUGUACCUUUGGUUGUUUCCGCUCCUUUUUGUUGUCUUUUGUCCUAAGCCUUUUUAUUGUUUCUGAUCCUUGAAUGUUGCGCUGCUAGUGCUACUGGUUGGAAAAACUGUAUGUGAUCCCUUAUUUUGAUGUUAUUCUGGAUGGAAUAUGGAAUAUUAUGGUCAUAUAUUUUGGUCUGGUA
Long non-coding RNA from Panicum virgatum (switchgrass), 863 nucleotides. RefSeq lists it as uncharacterized. Lineage: Eukaryota; Viridiplantae; Streptophyta; Magnoliopsida; Poales; Poaceae. The transcript has 5 exons. The record is from RefSeq and is a predicted model, not a curated record.